CCCUUAGAUGUUCUGGGCGGCCCGCGCACUACAAUGGCGUGUGCAGCGAGUGCCGAAGUAGAGUUUUCCGAGGUAUUCUUGCAAUGCUCGUUUUGAUGGGGAUAGACCCUUGCAACUGUUGGUUUUGAACGAGGAAUUCCUUGUAAGCAUGGUUUAUCAUCCGACGCUGAAUGCGUCCCUGCCCUUUGUACACACCGCCCGUCGCUCCUACCGAUGAGUCGUCCGGUGAAGUUCGUAGACCUCGUGAUCGCGGAUCACUAGGGGAAGCAAAAUGAACCUCGCGGGUUAGAGGAAGGAGAAGUCGUAACA
This 309-nucleotide ribosomal RNA is filed under the name uncultured eukaryote. Its description in RNAcentral is "partial 18S ribosomal RNA". It matches the Rfam family "Eukaryotic small subunit ribosomal RNA", at positions 1470 to 1796 of the family's 1831-position model. The record is from RNAcentral.